This 468-nucleotide ribosomal RNA is filed under the name uncultured bacterium. Its description in RNAcentral is "partial 16S ribosomal RNA". It matches the Rfam family "Bacterial small subunit ribosomal RNA", at positions 28 to 507 of the family's 1533-position model. The record is from RNAcentral.
GACGAACGCUGGCGGCGUGCUUAACACAUGCAAGUCGAACGGAAAGGCCCUGCUUUUGUGGGGUGCUCGAGUGGCGAACGGGUGAGUAACACGUGAGUAACCUGCCCUUGACUUUGGGAUAACUUCAGGAAACUGGGGCUAAUACCGGAUAGGAGCUCCUGCUGCAUGGUGGGGGUUGGAAAGUUUCGGCGGUUGGGGAUGGACUCGCGGCUUAUCAGCUUGUUGGUGGGGUAGUGGCUUACCAAGGCUUUGACGGGUAGCCGGCCUGAGAGGGUGACCGGCCACAUUGGGACUGCGGUACGGCCCAGACUCCUACGGGAGGCAGCAGUGGGGAAUAUUGCACAAUGGGCGGAAACCUGAUGCAGCAACGCCGCGUGCGGGAUGACGGCCUUCGGGUUGUAAACCGCUUUCGCCUGUGACGAAGCGUGAGUGACGGUAAUGGGUAAAGAAGCACCGGCUAACUACGUG